CACGUGGGGGGCGAGCGUUGUCCGGAUUUAUUGGGCGUAAAGAGCUCGUAGGCGGUUUGGCAAGUCGGGUGUGAAAUUUCGAGGCUCAACCUCGAAACGCCACUCGAUACUGCCAUGACUGGAGUCCGGUAGAGGAGUGCGGAAUUCCUGGUGUAGCGGUGAAAUGCGCAGAUAUCAGGAGGAACACCAACGGCGAAGGCAGCACUCUGGGCCGGUACUGACGCUGAGGAGCGAAAGCGUGGGGAGCAAACAGG
Molecule: ribosomal RNA, 254 nt
Filed under: uncultured bacterium
Lineage: Bacteria
Description: partial 16S ribosomal RNA
Rfam family: Bacterial small subunit ribosomal RNA
Source: RNAcentral